UUUAGUAUCCUGGCUCAGGAGUGAACGCUAGCGGCAGGCUUAACACAUGCAAGUCGAGGGGUAGUAGUUCUUCGGAGCUAGAGACCGGCGCACGGUGCGUAACGCGUAUGCAAUCUACCUUUACUAGGGGAGUAGCCCAGAGAAAUUUAGGAUUAAUACCCCACUAGUAUAAUUGAAUGGCAUCAUUUAAUUAUUAAAGUCACAACGGUAAAAGAUGAGCAUGCGUCCCAUUAGCUAGUUGGUAAGGUAACGGCUUACCAAGGCAACGAUGGGUAGGGGUCCGUGAGAGGGAGAUCCCCCACACUGGUACUGAGACACGGACCAGGCUCCUACGGGAGGCAGCAGUGAGGAAUAUUGGUCAAUGGGCGCAAGCCUGAACCAGCCAUGCCGCGUGCAGGAUGACGGUCCUAUGGAUUGUAAACUGCUUUUGCACAGGAAGAAACACUGAUUCGUGAAUCAGCUUGACGGUACUGUGAGAAUAAGGAUCGGCUAACUCCGUG
This 500-nucleotide ribosomal RNA is filed under the name uncultured Flavobacterium sp. Its description in RNAcentral is "bacterial SSU rRNA". It matches the Rfam family "Bacterial small subunit ribosomal RNA", at positions 12 to 507 of the family's 1533-position model. Lineage: Bacteria; Pseudomonadati; Bacteroidota; Flavobacteriia; Flavobacteriales; Flavobacteriaceae. The record is from RNAcentral.